RNAcentral lists this ribosomal RNA (247 nucleotides) under Anaerolineae bacterium. Its description in RNAcentral is "partial 16S ribosomal RNA". It matches the Rfam family "Bacterial small subunit ribosomal RNA", at positions 1296 to 1533 of the family's 1533-position model. The record is from RNAcentral. Lineage: Bacteria; Bacillati; Chloroflexota; Anaerolineae.
GAUUGCAGGCUGCAACCCGCCUGCAUGAAGCCGGAGUUGCUAGUAACCGCUGGUCAGCCAUACAGCGGUGAAUACGUUCCCGGGCCUUGUACACACCGCCCGUCACGUCAUGGGAGCCGACAAUACCUGAAGCCGGUGGGCCAACCGUAAGGAGGCAGCCGUCGAAGGUAGGGUUGGUGACUGGGACGAAGUCGUAACAAGGUAGCUGUACCGGAAGGUGCGGCUGGAUCACCUCCUUUCUAGGGAG